Molecule: RNA transcript, 2910 nt
Organism: Chenopodium quinoa (quinoa)
Lineage: Eukaryota; Viridiplantae; Streptophyta; Magnoliopsida; Caryophyllales; Amaranthaceae
Exons: 12
Source: RefSeq, a predicted model, not a curated record
UUUCAAAAUAAUCACAAAACCAAAUUACAAACUUGCGUUUUAUUUAACAAGCUAUAGCAAUAAUCACAAACUAUAGCAAUUAGCAAUAUAUACAAUUCAUAAUCAUGAAUUACGGCAACAAUUAGAAUACAAAAUCAUGAACAAAAUAAAUUAAAGGGGGAGAUGAGAAGUGUCGCCGCUACAGCCUACAAGUGAAGAUCGGAGUUUCGCAAACUCUCGCCGGUGAGGUCUGACUGUCUGAGGCCGUGAGGCGUGCAAAUUCAGUGAGGAAUGAUGAGGCGUACAAUUUCAGUGAGGAAAGAGAGUGAGGGACUGAGGGAGAGUGAGUUUAAUUUCAAUGGAGUUUAUGUUAGGAGAGAGAGAGGAGAGAGGGGUGGCGUUGAGAGUUUUAGACUUAGGCCCCGUUUGGUUUAAUGUAAAACAUUUUCAAUGGAAAAUUAGUUUUCAAGGAAAAUAUAUUUUCAAGGAAAAACACAAUUUCAAAUUAGUUUUCCUUUAUUUGAUUGCAUACAAGAAAAGUCCAAGAAAAAUAAAAAAUAAAAGUGGAAAUGUAAGGAUAAAUGAGAGAGAAGUAAAAAAAAAAAAAGGUAAGGAGGAAAGAUGAAAAUGUGGCUUCCCUUGUUUUUGGAAGGAAAAUGUUUUCCAUUAUUAAGGAUGGAAUUUUCCACCCUUGAAAAAUUGUUUUCCACUCCUUAACAAACCAAACAAAGGAAAAUGGGAAAAAAUGAAAAAUUCAUUUUUCAUGAAAACCUUUUACAUCAAACCAAACAGGGCUUUAGAUACAGUCUUCAGUUAGGGUUUGUGAAAUUAGGAGGGCCUUUUAAAUAUUUUAAAAACGACAUUUUAGAAAUAAUUUGAAAAAAUGUAAACGUAGUCUGUAGUAUAGAACUCGUUUGAGUUUAAAAUAAAUAAAAAAAUUAUAUUAUAUAUGUUCGGGUGGAUGACGGAUCGGGUGAUAAACGGAUGACGGAUUGGGUGAUGAAUGUAACGGAGCUCCACCCGAAUCCGACCCGACCCGAUCCGUCACCCACCCUUCAUCCGUUUAACGCGGAUUUUCAUCCAUUUAUUUAUAUCGGGUGGAUCGGGUUUGCGGAUAUCCAUUUAGAAUUGUCAUCUCUAAUUGGGUCGGUCUUAAUUACCAUUUAUCCAUAAUCAUGGUUGAGCGUGAGUGAUGAACAUCAUUUCUCCCAGAAUUCAUCUUUUUGCGACUCAAUUUGAUAAUUCAAAGAGGAAUUUUACAAGGUCAAUGUGUUAAUAUUCUUCAAAUUUGAAUAUGAAGUUCAAGGUCGUGUGCAGGAAAAUUAAAGAUUAUGUUCGUUAUGAUUUGAAAGAAAUAGCAUUUCCUUCCUCAUUACCUGAUCCGCCUCACAUUAAAAAGCGGCGUAAAUUGACUUGGAAGGAAUCAUAUUAUGUCCUGAAGGAGGCCUCCCGUCUUUAUGCAGCAAGCUGGGUACGAGACAUUGGUCCUGAACUCCGCCCAAAUGAUUACAAGAAGGAAGAAAGUGCAGAUAAAAAUGGAUCAAAUGAAAAUAAGGAGAAAGAACCAACAACACUAGAGGAUCUUGGUCCUGAAGGAGGCCUCCCGUCUUUAUGCAGCAAGCUGGGUACGAGACAUUGGUCCUGAACUCCGCCCAAAUGAUUACAAGAAGGAAGAAAGUGCAGAUAAAAAUGGAUCAAAUGAAAAUAAGGAGAAAGAACCAACAACACUAGAGGAUCUUGGUCCUGAAGGAGGCCUCCCGUCUUUAUGCAGCAAGCUGGGUACGAGACAUUGGUCCUGAACUCCGCCCAAAUGAUUACAAGAAGGAAGAAAGUGCAGAUAAAAAUGGAUCAAAUGAAAAUAAGGAGAAAGAACCAACAACACUAGAGGAUCUUGGUCCUGAAGGAGGCCUCCCGUCUUUAUGCAGCAAGCUGGGUACGAGACAUUGGUCCUGAACUCCGCCCAAAUGAUUACAAGAAGGAAGAAAGUGCAGAUAAAAAUGGAUCAAAUGAAAAUAAGGAGAAAGAACCAACAACACUAGAGGAUCUUGGUCCUGAAGGAGGCCUCCCGUCUUUAUGCAGCAAGCUGGGUACGAGACAUUGGUCCUGAACUCCGCCCAAAUGAUUACAAGAAGGAAGAAAGUGCAGAUAAAAAUGGAUCAAAUGAAAAUAAGGAGAAAGAACCAACAACACUAGAGGAUCUUGGUCCUGAAGGAGGCCUCCCGUCUUUAUGCAGCAAGCUGGGUACGAGACAUUGGUCCUGAACUCCGCCCAAAUGAUUACAAGAAGGAAGAAAGUGCAGAUAAAAAUGGAUCAAAUGAAAAUAAGGAGAAAGAACCAACAACACUAGAGGAUCUUGGUCCUGAAGGAGGCCUCCCGUCUUUAUGCAGCAAGCUGGGUACGAGACAUUGGUCCUGAACUCCGCCCAAAUGAUUACAAGAAGGAAGAAAGUGCAGAUAAAAAUGGAUCAAAUGAAAAUAAGGAGAAAGAACCAACAACACUAGAGGAUCUUGGUCCUGAAGGAGGCCUCCCGUCUUUAUGCAGCAAGCUGGGUACGAGACAUUGGUCCUGAACUCCGCCCAAAUGAUUACAAGAAGGAAGAAAGUGCAGAUAAAAAUGGAUCAAAUGAAAAUAAGGAGAAAGAACCAACAACACUAGAGGAUCUUGGUCCUGAAGGAGGCCUCCCGUCUUUAUGCAGCAAGCUGGGUACGAGACAUUGGUCCUGAACUCCGCCCAAAUGAUUACAAGAAGGAAGAAAGUGCAGAUAAAAAUGGAUCAAAUGAAAAUAAGGAGAAAGAACCAACAACACUAGAGGAUCUUGGUCCUGAAGGAGGCCUCCCGUCUUUAUGCAGCAAGCUGGGUACGAGACAUUGGUCCUGAACUCCGCCCAAAUGAUUACAAGAAGGAAGAAAGUGCAGAUAAAAAUGGAUCAAA